GACGAACGCUGGCGGCGUGCUUAACACAUGCAAGUCGAACGGAAAGGCCCUGCUUUUGUGGGGUGCUCGAGUGGCGAACGGGUGAGUAACACGUGAGUAACCUGCCCUUGACUUUGGGAUAACUUCAGGAAACUGGGGCUAAUACCGGAUAGGAGCUCCUGCUGCAUGGGGGGGGUUGGAAAGUUUCGGCGGUUGGGGAUGGACUCGGGGCUUAUCAGCUUGUUGGUGGGGGAGUGGCUUACCAAGGCUUUGACGGGUAGCCGGCCUGAGAGGGUGACCGGCCACAUUGGGACUGAGAUACGGCCCAGACUCCUACGGGAGGCAGCAGUGGGGAAUAUUGCACAAUGGGCGGAAGCCUGAUGCAGCAACGCCGCGUGCGGGAUGACGGCCUUCGGGUUGUAAACCGCUUUCGCCUGUGACGAAGCGUGAGUGACGGUAAUGGGUAAAGAAGCACCGGCUAACUACGUG
RNAcentral lists this ribosomal RNA (468 nucleotides) under uncultured bacterium. RNAcentral's name for it is "partial 16S ribosomal RNA". It matches the Rfam family "Bacterial small subunit ribosomal RNA", at positions 28 to 507 of the family's 1533-position model. The record is from RNAcentral.